GACGAACGCUGGCGGCGUGCUUAACACAUGCAAGUCGAACGGAAAGGCCCUGCUUUUGUGGGGUGCUCGAGUGGCGAACGGGGGAGUAACACGUGAGUAACCUGCCCUUGACUUUGGGAUAACUUCAGGAAACUGGGGCUAAUACCGGAUAGGAGCUCCUGCUGAAUGGUGGGGGUUGGAAAGUUUCGGCGGUUGGGGAUGGACUCGCGGCUUAUCAGCUUGUUGGUGGGGUAGUGGCUUACCAAGGCUUUGACGGGUAGCCGGCCUGAGAGGGUGACCGGCCACAUUGGGACUGAGAUACGGCCCAGACUCCUACGGGAGGCAGCAGUGGGGAAUAUUGCACAAUGGGCGGAAGCCUGAUGCAGCAACGCCGCGUGCGGGAUGACGGCCUUCGGGUUGUAAACCGCUUUCGCCUGUGACGAAGCGUGAGUGACGGUAAUGGGUAAAGAAGCACCGGCUAACUACGUG
This 468-nucleotide ribosomal RNA is filed under the name uncultured bacterium. RNAcentral describes it as "partial 16S ribosomal RNA". It matches the Rfam family "Bacterial small subunit ribosomal RNA", at positions 28 to 507 of the family's 1533-position model. The record is from RNAcentral.